CCUACGGGUGGCAGCAGUGGGGAAUAUUGGACAGUGGGCGAAAGCCUGAUCCAGCCAUGCCGCGUGUGUGAAGAAGGCCUUCGGGUUGUAAAGCACUUUCAGUGGGGAAGAAAGCCUUGGGGCUAAUACCCUCGAGGAAGGACAUCACCCACAGAAGAAGCACCGGCUAACUCCGUGCCAGCAGCCGCGGUAAUACGGAGGGUGCGAGCGUUAAUCGGAAUUACUGGGCGUAAAGCGCGCGUAGGCGGUCUGAUAAGCCGGUUGUGAAAGCCCCUGGCUCAACCUGGGAACGGCAUCCGGAACUGUCAGGCUAGAGUGCAGGAGAGGAAGGUAGAAUUCCCGGUGUAGCGGUGAAAUGCGUAGAGAUCGGGAGGAAUACCAGUGGCGAAGGCGGCCUUCUGGACUGACACUGACGCUGAGGUGCGAAAGCGUGGGUAGCAAACAGGAUUAGAUACCCCAGUAGUC
RNAcentral lists this ribosomal RNA (465 nucleotides) under Vreelandella stevensii. RNAcentral describes it as "partial 16S ribosomal RNA". It matches the Rfam family "Bacterial small subunit ribosomal RNA", at positions 338 to 795 of the family's 1533-position model. Lineage: Bacteria; Pseudomonadati; Pseudomonadota; Gammaproteobacteria; Oceanospirillales; Halomonadaceae. The record is from RNAcentral.